RNAcentral lists this transfer RNA (62 nucleotides) under Scelimena sp. 1 XDL-2023a. Its description in RNAcentral is "tRNA-Asp". The record is from RNAcentral. Lineage: Eukaryota; Metazoa; Arthropoda; Insecta; Orthoptera; Tetrigidae.
AAGGAAUUAGUUAAAUUAUAACAUUAAAAUGUCAGUUUAAAAUAACCAUAAGGUAUUUCUUG